Molecule: ribosomal RNA, 253 nt
Filed under: uncultured bacterium
Lineage: Bacteria
Description: partial 16S ribosomal RNA
Rfam family: Bacterial small subunit ribosomal RNA
Source: RNAcentral
UACAGAGGUCUCGAGCGUUAGGCGGAAUCACUGGGCUUAAAGCGUGUGUAGGUGGAUGCCUAAGUACCUUGUGAAAUCCCACGGCUUAACCGUGGGACUGCUUGGUAUACUGGGUGUCUUGAGUCACUCAGGGGCGAGCGGAACAAAUGGUGGAGCGGUGAAAUGCGUAGAUAUCAUUUGGAACGCCAAUGGUGAAAACAGCUCGCUGGGGGUGCACUGACACUGAGACACGAAAGCCAGGGGAGCGAACGGG